AACGAACGCUGGCGGCAGGCCUAACACAUGCAAGUCGAGCGAGGACUUCGGUCCUAGCGGCGGAUGGGUGAGUAACGCGUGGGAACGUGCCCUUUGCUUCGGAAUAGCCCUGGGAAACUGGGAGUAAUACCGGAUGAGCCCUUUGGGGGAAAGAUUUAUCGGCGAAGGAUCGGCCCGCGUUGGAUUAGGUAGUUGGUGGGGUAAUGGCCUACCAAGCCGACGAUCCAUAGCUGGUUUGAGAGGAUGAUCAGCCACACUGGGACUGAGACACGGCCCAGACUCCUACGGGAGGCAGCAGUGGGGAAUCUUAGACAAUGGGGGAAACCCUGAUCGAGCCAUGCCGCGUGAGCGAUGAAGGCCUUAGGGUUGUAAAGCUCUUUCAGCUGGGAAGAUAAUGACGGUACCAGCAGAAGAAGCCCCGGCUAACUCCGUG
Molecule: ribosomal RNA, 433 nt
Filed under: uncultured bacterium
Lineage: Bacteria
Description: partial 16S ribosomal RNA
Rfam family: Bacterial small subunit ribosomal RNA
Source: RNAcentral